UAAUACGUAGGGUGCGAGCGUUAAUCGGAAUUACUGGGCGUAAAGGGUGCGCAGGCGGCGUCGCAAGUCAGGCGUGAAAUCCCCGGGCUUAACCUGGGAACUGCACUUGAAACUACGAUGCUGGAGUAUGGCAGAGGGAGGUGGAAUUCCACGUGUAGCGGUGAAAUGCGUAGAGAUGUGGAGGAACACCGAUGGCGAAGGCAGCCUCCUGGGCCAAUACUGACGCUCAUGCACGAAAGCGUGGGGAGCAAACAGGAUUAGAUACCCUGGUAGUCCACGCCCUAAACGAUGAUGACUAGUUGUUGGAGGAGUUAAAUCCUUUAGUAACGCAGCUAACGCGAGAAGUCAUCCGCCUGGGGAGUACGGUCGCAAGAUUA
RNAcentral lists this ribosomal RNA (377 nucleotides) under uncultured bacterium. RNAcentral describes it as "bacterial SSU rRNA". It matches the Rfam family "Bacterial small subunit ribosomal RNA", at positions 521 to 896 of the family's 1533-position model. The record is from RNAcentral.